This is a non-coding RNA of Gasterosteus aculeatus aculeatus (three-spined stickleback), 294 nucleotides long. NCBI's taxonomy places the organism in Eukaryota, Metazoa, Chordata, Actinopteri, Perciformes, Gasterosteidae. The record is from RefSeq and is a predicted model, not a curated record.
CAUGGGGCACCCGGGACUUGAACCACCAACCUUGCGGUUCCCAGUGCCCCCUCUCUACCCCCGCGCGCCACGUCGCCCCCUUUUAUCCUUCCAGGAGACGUGAAGGAAAGAGCUCCCGGAUUUCGAGAGCCAGUUGAGAGUCAACUGACAUAAUCCCAUCGAAUAAUCGCGUACUGGAAACUCCGAUUGGUUUUUUAUGCACACUAGAAGAACCUGAACCCUGUGAAUCUGAAUGCUGAGAUGGCGAGCUAAACCCGGAUCGUGGAUGCGGUGUGGCCGACCGUAUGAUCAGAC